This 269-nucleotide unclassified non-coding RNA is filed under the name Hevea brasiliensis (rubber tree). Lineage: Eukaryota; Viridiplantae; Streptophyta; Magnoliopsida; Malpighiales; Euphorbiaceae. The record is from RNAcentral.
CUAGAAAUGAGAGGUACAAUUUUCAAAUUACAUCACAACUUGAUUGCUAACUAGUCUUGUAGGUAUCAAUUGAAGGUACAUUGGAGGCUCUUAACAUCAUACUUUGAUAAUAGACGAAUUAGCAACAAGAAAUCGGUCUGCAUUUCGAGUUGCUAAAGAGUUUGAAUUCUUUACCUUGUAUUAGUCUCUGAUCACACUGCAACUAUGAUGUUACCAUUUAUUAUUUAAUCAAAGAGGCCUUCAUCAUGCCAAAUAUCAACUAAAAAAUC